Molecule: non-coding RNA, 371 nt
Organism: Tepidiphilus thermophilus
Lineage: Bacteria; Pseudomonadati; Pseudomonadota; Hydrogenophilia; Hydrogenophilales; Hydrogenophilaceae
Rfam family: transfer-messenger RNA
About the family: Bacterial tmRNA, also known as 10Sa RNA or SsrA, is named for its dual tRNA and mRNA-like properties. Its role is to liberate the mRNA from a stalled ribosome. To accomplish this part of the tmRNA is used as a reading frame that ends in a translation stop signal.
Source: Rfam
GGGGCCGUACCUGGCUUCGACGGGGGUCGCAAAGCAGCACAGCGCAUACCGAGGACCAGUCCCCUCGUAAAUCCACUGGAAAGCAAACAAACGCCAACGACGAGCGUUUCGCUCUCGCCGCCUGAGGGCGGCGAGCGCUGCACCGGCUGGCCUCUGGGCCGGAUGAUGGCGUAAGCCAUCUCGCAGCGUCAUUCACAGAGGCUCGUCCCCGGGUCGGGCCGCUUGGCUCGGGGCCUAAAACCAAGGCGGCUCGCGUCGGUGCGGUGAGCCUACCCACCCACACCGGCGCUAAAUUCAAACGGUAGGCUAAGUAUGUAGACCUGGCUGUAGAGGGCUUCCGGACGGGGGUUCGACUCCCCCCGGCUCCACCA